This 301-nucleotide ribosomal RNA is filed under the name uncultured bacterium. Its description in RNAcentral is "partial 16S ribosomal RNA". It matches the Rfam family "Bacterial small subunit ribosomal RNA", at positions 509 to 807 of the family's 1533-position model. The record is from RNAcentral.
CAGUAGCCGCGGGAAAACGUAGGAGGCAAGCGUUGUCCGGAAUUAUUGGGCGUAAAGGGCUCGCAGGCGGUUUCUUAAGUCUGAUGUGAAAGCCCCCGGCUCAACCGGGGAGGGUCAUUGGAAACUGGGAAACUUGAGUGCAGAAGAGGAGAGUGGAAUUCCACGUGUAGCGGUGAAAUGCGUAGAGAUGUGGAGGAACACCAGUGGCGAAGGCGACUCUCUGGUCUGUAACUGACGCUGAGGAGCGAAAGCGUGGGGAGCGAACAGGAUUAGAUACCCCUGUAGUCCUUGUCUCUUAUAC